GGCCGCAAGGUUAAAACUCAAAUGAAUUGACGGGGGCCCGCACAAGCGGUGGAGCAUGUGGUUUAAUUCGAUGCAACGCGAAGAACCUUACCUGGUCUUGACAUCCACAGAACUUUCCAGAGAUGGAUUGGUGCCUUCGGGAACUGUGAGACAGGUGCUGCAUGGCUGUCGUCAGCUCGUGUUGUGAAAUGUUGGGUUAAGUCCCGCAACGAGCGCAACCCUUAUCCUUUGUUGCCAGCGGUCCGGCCGGGAACUCA
This 257-nucleotide ribosomal RNA is filed under the name Salmonella enterica subsp. enterica serovar Infantis. RNAcentral's name for it is "partial 16S ribosomal RNA". It matches the Rfam family "Bacterial small subunit ribosomal RNA", at positions 884 to 1141 of the family's 1533-position model. The record is from RNAcentral. Lineage: Bacteria; Pseudomonadati; Pseudomonadota; Gammaproteobacteria; Enterobacterales; Enterobacteriaceae. RNAcentral also lists the same sequence under 2 other names.